RNAcentral lists this ribosomal RNA (496 nucleotides) under uncultured bacterium. RNAcentral describes it as "partial 16S ribosomal RNA". It matches the Rfam family "Bacterial small subunit ribosomal RNA", at positions 30 to 523 of the family's 1533-position model. The record is from RNAcentral.
AUUGAACGCUGGCGGAAUGCUUUACACAUGCAAGUCGAACGGUAGAGGGGGCAACCCCUCGAGAGUGGCGAACGGGUGAGUAAUAUAUCGGAACGUGCCCAGUCGUGGGGGAUAACGUAGCGAAAGUUACGCUAAUACCGCAUACGAUCUAAGGAUGAAAGCGGGGGAUCGCAAGACCUCGCGCGAUUGGAGCGGCCGAUAUCAGAUUAGGUAGUUGGUGAGGUAAAGGCUCACCAAGCCAACGAUCUGUAGCUGGUCUGAGAGGACGACCAGCCACACUGGAACUGGGACACGGUCCAGACUCCUACGGGAGGCAGCAGUGGGGAAUUUUGGACAAUGGACGCAAGUCUGAUCCAGCCAUUCCGCGUGCAGGAUGAAGGCCCUCGUGUUGUAAACUGCUUUUGUACGGAACGAAAAGGUCUCUCUUAAUACGGGGGGCUCAUGACGGUACCGUAAGAAUAAGCACCGGCUAACUACGUGCCAGCAGCCGCAGUAA